This 1456-nucleotide ribosomal RNA is filed under the name uncultured Pezizomycotina. Its description in RNAcentral is "eukaryotic LSU rRNA". The stretch from base 838 to 1456 matches the Rfam family "Eukaryotic large subunit ribosomal RNA", at positions 1 to 649 of the family's 3401-position model. The record is from RNAcentral. Lineage: Eukaryota; Fungi; Ascomycota.
AAGUCGUAACAAGGUUUCCUUCCCGGCACCUGCCGAAGCCUUAGCCGCCUGAACGGCGGGGCCCGCGACUCAAAACAGAGGGCCCCCAAGAGCUAGCCCGUCCGGGCGACAUCACUAAAUUGCGGGGACGCUCGCCAAACUCUCGCACCCUCCGGUCCAGCGAUGGCACCGGGGCGCCCGCCCCCGCGGGCGCGACGGUCGCAGCGCCAGUUUGAGCCACCCGCAGCCAACCCCUCCGCGGGAGGGGGAUGUUCACAGACUAGAUGGUGAUGGGCGCGGUUGCGUCUAAGAUAUAGUCGGCCGCCGGCCUGCGCCGGCGAUUCUGAAGCGUUCCGUAGGUGAACCUGCGGAAGGAUCAUUAUCGAGUACCGAGGCCCCCGCGCCUCUGCUCCCACCCUGUGUUGACCUGCAACGUUGCUUUGGCGGGCCGGCGGGUACACCCGCCGCCGGGCCGCGCCUGGAGAGCGCCCGCCAGAGGACCACGCGAAACUCUUUGCAAACUUUGAGCGUCUGAGCACUUUUGAGAAUUGACCAAAACUUUCAACAACGGAUCUCUUGGUUCUGGCAUCGAUGAAGAACGCAGCGAAAUGCGAUAAGUAAUGUGAAUUGCAGAAUUCAGUGAAUCAUCGAAUCUUUGAACGCACAUUGCGCCCCUCGGCACUCCGGGGGGCAUGCCUGUCCGAGCGUCAUUGAAGACUAUCAAGCCCGGCUUGGUCUUGGGCGCGGUCCUGGGACCCGCCCGCAACCCGUCGGCGGUGCCGGUUCGGCCCUGAGCGUAGCAGAGAUACUCGCUCCGGGGCCGCGGCGGCGCCCGCCAGCAAGUUUUUACCUACGGUUUGACCUCGGAUCAGGUAGGGAUACCCGCUGAACUUAAGCAUAUCAAUAAGCGGAGGAAAAGAAACCAACAGGGAUUGCCUCAGUAACGGCGAGUGAAGCGGCAACAGCUCAAAUUUGAAAUCUGGCUCCCGCCCGAGUUGUAAUUUGCAGAGGAUGCUUCGGUGCAGUCCCCGGCCCAAGUCCCUUGGAACAGGGCGCCGCAGAGGGUGAGAGCCCCCCACGCGGCCGGGUGCCUGCUCCGGUGAAGCUCCUUCGACGAGUCGAGUUGUUUGGGAAUGCAGCUCUAACUGGGAGGUAAAUUUCUCCUAAGGCUAAAUACCGGCCAGAGACCGAUAGCGCACAAGUAGAGUGAUCGAAAGAUGAAAAGCACUUUGAAAAGAGAGUUAAAAAGUACGUGAAAUUGUUGAAAGGGAAGCGUUUGCGGCCAGACUUGGCGGCGGUUGCUCAGCCGGUCAUUGCCCGGUGCACUCUUCCGCCGACAGGCCAGCGUCGGUUCGGGCGGUCGGAUAAAGGCGUCGGGAACGUGGCUCUUCGGAGUGUUAUAGCCCUUCGCACAAUGCGGCCCGCCCGGACCGAGGUACGCGUCUUCACGGACGCGGCGUAAUGGCCGCCAACGGCC